GAAAUGCGAUAAGUAAUGUGAAUUGCAAAAUUCAGUGAAUCAUCGAAUCUUUGAACGCACAUUGCGCCCGCCAGUAUUCUGGCGGGCAUGCCUGUUCGAGCGUCAUUUCAACCAUCAAGCCCCCGGCUUGUGUUGGGGACCUGCGGCUGCCCGCAGGCCCUGAAAAACAGUGGCGGGCUCGCUGUCACACCGAGCGUAGUAGCAUACAUUCUCGCUCAGGGCGUGCUGCGGGUUCCGGCCGUUAAACGACCUUCAUAACCCAAGGUUGACCUCGGAUCAGGUAGGAAGACCCGCUGAACUUAAGC
Molecule: unclassified non-coding RNA, 305 nt
Filed under: plant metagenome
Description: partial contains 5.8S ribosomal RNA, internal transcribed spacer 2, and large subunit ribosomal RNA
Rfam family: 5.8S ribosomal RNA (bases 1-105)
Source: RNAcentral